UAGAUUCUCAAAUAUACGGCGCUUAAUUCA
Molecule: non-coding RNA, 30 nt
Filed under: Mus musculus (house mouse)
Lineage: Eukaryota; Metazoa; Chordata; Mammalia; Rodentia; Muridae
Source: RNAcentral